RNAcentral lists this ribosomal RNA (253 nucleotides) under uncultured bacterium. Its description in RNAcentral is "partial 16S ribosomal RNA". It matches the Rfam family "Bacterial small subunit ribosomal RNA", at positions 524 to 776 of the family's 1533-position model. The record is from RNAcentral.
UACAGAGGGUGCGAGCGUUGUCCGGAAUCACUGGGCGUAAAGGGCGCGUAGGCGGUCUCUUAAGCGUGUGGUGAAAGCCCGGGGCUCAACUCCGGGUCGGCCGUGCGAACUGAGGGACUGGAGCUUGUCAGAGGCAGGCGGAAUUCCGGGUGUAGCGGUGGAAUGCGUAGAGAUCCGGAAGAACACCGGUGGCGAAGGCGGCCUGCUGGGACAGUGCUGACGCUGAGGCGCGACAGCGUGGGGAGCAAACAGG